UCGAUUUCGGUUUACACCGUUUUCUACCUUUGUCUAUGCGUACCACACGUUUCCUCGGGGGGCUUGCCCCCCGUUAGGACAUUUAAUCAACCUUUUUGUAAUAGCAGUCAGCGUCUGAAAUAAUUUAAUUAUUAAAACUUUCAACAACGGAUCUCUUGGUUCUGGCAUCGAUGAAGAACGCAGCGAAAUGCGAUAAGUAGUGUGAAUUGCAGAAUUCAGUGAAUCAUCGAAUCUUUGAACGCACAUUGCGCCCCUUGGUAUUCCAUGGGGCAUGCCUGUUCGAGCGUCAUUUGAACUCUCAAGCUUUGCUUGGUGUUGGGUGUUUGUCCUGCCAUUGCGUGUGGACUCGCCUUAAAGUAAUUGGCAGCCUGGUAAUUCGGCUUUGAGCGCAGCACAUUGCGUACUCUCGGCUGGUGCUUUGGCAUCCAAAAGGACCUUUUUUUACUCUUCGACCUCGGAUCAAGGUAGGGAUACCCCGCUGAACCUUAAGCAUAUC
This 496-nucleotide ribosomal RNA is filed under the name Phoma sp. 1-12. RNAcentral's name for it is "eukaryotic LSU rRNA". The stretch from base 136 to 289 matches the Rfam family "5.8S ribosomal RNA". The record is from RNAcentral. Lineage: Eukaryota; Fungi; Ascomycota; Dothideomycetes; Pleosporales; Didymellaceae.